AUGCGACUGGUGCCGGAUAGAGGAAUCGAACCCCCGACCUUCUCAUUACGAAUGAGCUGCUCUACCGACUGAGCUAAUCCGGC
Molecule: transfer RNA, 83 nt
Filed under: Pseudomonas aeruginosa
Lineage: Bacteria; Pseudomonadati; Pseudomonadota; Gammaproteobacteria; Pseudomonadales; Pseudomonadaceae
Description: tRNA-Thr
Source: RNAcentral